GUCGCAGUGCAUUGUGGGAUUGCCUUUUGUGCAAAGGAUACAUGGAUUUUGACCCAAAUGAGGACGUCCAUGAGGUCUUGUAAGCUGUGCAAGAGCAACUUUUGAGCAUUCAGAGUUUCUUCUGGGAGACACAUCUGAGAGUUACUUUAAAGACUCUGAGAACUCCAUUAAGUCUCCUGAGCUGUGAAAGAGC
Molecule: long non-coding RNA, 193 nt
Organism: Labeo rohita (rohu)
Lineage: Eukaryota; Metazoa; Chordata; Actinopteri; Cypriniformes; Cyprinidae
Exons: 3
Source: RefSeq, a predicted model, not a curated record